UAAAGUCAAAUGACCUCUAAGCCGUUGUACGCAUUACGAGAACAUGAAGCCCCCCCACGAAAGUAACUUUACCACCUCCGACCCCACGAAAGCUAAGAAACAAACUGGGAUUAGAUACCCCACUAUGCUUAGCCUUAAACCCAGAUAUUUACAUUACAAAAAAUAUCCGCCAGGGUACUACGAGCGCUAGCUUAAAACCCAAAGGACUUGACGGUGUCUCAGACCCGCCUAGAGGAGCCUGUUCUAGAACCGAUAAUCCACGUUUAACCUCACCUCCCCUUGUAUUCCCCGCCUAUAUACCGCCGUCGCAAGCUUACCCUGUGAAGGAAUAAUAGUAAGCAAAAUGGGCACGCCCCAGAACGUCAGGUCGAGGUGUAGCUUAUGGGGUGGGAAGAAAUGGGCUACAUUUUCUGCACCAGAAUAUACGAACGGUAUUAUGAAACUAAUACCCGAAGGUGGAUUUAGUAGUAAAAAUCAAAUAGAGAGUCAUUUUGAAUAAGGCUCUGAGAUGCGCACACACCGCCCGUCGCCC
This 532-nucleotide ribosomal RNA is filed under the name Astyanax bimaculatus (twospot astyanax). RNAcentral's name for it is "partial small subunit ribosomal RNA". It matches the Rfam family "Bacterial small subunit ribosomal RNA", at positions 657 to 1402 of the family's 1533-position model. The record is from RNAcentral. Lineage: Eukaryota; Metazoa; Chordata; Actinopteri; Characiformes; Acestrorhamphidae.